UGGGGGAUAUUGCGCAAUGGGGGCAACCCUGACGCAGCAACGCCGCGUGAAGGAUGAAGGUUUUCGGAUUGUAAACUUCUUUUAUUAAGGACGAAACUUGACGGUACUUAAUGAAUAAGCUCCGGCUAACUACGUGCCAGCAGCCGCGGUAAUACGUAGGGAGCAAGCGUUGUCCGGAUUUACUGGGUGUAAAGGGUGCGUAGGCGGCUUUGCAAGUCAGAUGUGAAAUCUAUGGGCUCAACCCAUAAACUGCAUUUGAAACUGUAGAGCUUGAGUGAAGUAGAGGCAGGCGGAAUUCCCCGUGUAGCGGUGAAAUGCGUAGAGAUGGGGAGGAACACCAGUGGCGAAGGCGGCCUGCUGGGCUUUAACUGACGCUGAGGCACGAAAGCGUGGGUAGCAAACAGGAUUAGAUACCCUGGUAGUCCACGCUGUAAACGAUGAUUACUAGGUGUGGGGGGUCUGACCCCUUCCGUGCCGGAGUUAACACAAUAAGUAAUCCACCUGGGGAGUACGGCCGCAAGGUUGAAACUCAAAGGAAUUGACGGGGGCCCGCACAAGCAGUGGAGUAUGUGGUUUAAUUCGAAGCAACGCGAAGAACCUUACCAGGUCUUGACAUCCAACUAACGAAGUAGAGAUACAUUAGGUGCCCUUCGGGGAAAGUUGAGACAGGUGGUGCAUGGUUGUCGUCAGCUCGUGUCGUGAGAUGUUGGGUUAAGUCCCGCAACGAGCGCAACCCUUGCUAUUAGUUGCUACGCAAGAGCACUCUAAUAGGACUGCCGUUGACAAAACGGAGGAAGGUGGGGACGACGUCAAAUCAUCAUGCCCCUUAUGACCUGGGCUACACACGUACUACAAUGGAUGUUAACAGAGGGAAGCAAGACAGCGAUGUGGAGCAAACCCCUAAAAACAUUCUCAGUUCAGACUGCAGGCUGCAACCCGCCUGCAUGAAGAUGGAAUUGCUAGUAAUCGCGGAUCAGCAUGCCGCGGUGAAUACGUUCCC
This 1000-nucleotide ribosomal RNA is filed under the name uncultured bacterium. RNAcentral's name for it is "bacterial SSU rRNA". It matches the Rfam family "Bacterial small subunit ribosomal RNA", at positions 355 to 1375 of the family's 1533-position model. The record is from RNAcentral.